This 559-nucleotide ribosomal RNA is filed under the name uncultured bacterium. Its description in RNAcentral is "partial 16S ribosomal RNA". It matches the Rfam family "Bacterial small subunit ribosomal RNA", at positions 356 to 1375 of the family's 1533-position model. The record is from RNAcentral.
UGGGAAUCUUGCGCAAUGGGCGAAAGCCUGACGCAGCCAUGCCGCGUGGAUGAUGAAGGUCUUAGGAUUGUAAAAUCCUUUCACCGGUGAAGAUAAUGACUGUAGCCGGAGAAGAAGCCCCGGCUAACUUCGUGCCAGCAGCCGCGGUAAUACGAAGGGGGCUAGCGUUGCUCGGAAUUACUGGGCGUAAAGGGAGCGUAGGCGGACAUUUAAGUCAGGGGUGAAAUCCCGAGGCUCAACCUCGGAACUGCCUUUGAUACUGGGUGUCUUGAGUGUGAGAGAGGUAUGUGGAACUCCGAGUGUAGAGGUGAAAUUCGUAGAUAUUCGGAAAAACACCAGUGGCGAAGGCGACAUACUGGCUCAUUACUGACGCUGAGGCUCGAAAGCGUGGGGAGCAAACAGGAUUAGAUACCCUGGUAGUCCACGCCGUAAACGAUGAUUGCUAGUUGUCGGGAAGCUUGCUUUUCGGUGACGCAGCUAACGCAUUAAGCAAUCCGCCUGGGGAGUACGGUCGCAAGAUUAAAACUCAAAUGAAUUGACGGGGUCAUAGCUGUUUCCU